Eriocheir sinensis (Chinese mitten crab) is the source of this 1524-nucleotide long non-coding RNA. RefSeq lists it as uncharacterized. Lineage: Eukaryota; Metazoa; Arthropoda; Malacostraca; Decapoda; Varunidae. The record is from RefSeq and is a predicted model, not a curated record. The transcript has 2 exons.
AUAUGAUAGGCUUACAAACGAGACUUUCCACAUAGGCCUAGAAGGAGGCUACUGUCUCUCUCUGUAGCCUAACAUAUGAUAGGCUUACAAACAAGACUUUCUACAUAGGCCUAGAAGCAGGUUACUGUCUUUCUCUGUAGCCUAACAUAUGAUAGGCUUACAAACGAGACUUUCCACAUAGGCCAAGAAGCAGGUUACUGUCUAUAGCCUAACAUAUGAUAGGCUUACAAAUGAGACUUUCCACAUAGGUCUAGAAGCAGGUUACUGUCUAUAGCCUAACAUAUGAUAGGCUUACAAACGAGACUUUCCACAUAGGCCUAGAAGGAGGUUACUGUCUUUCUCUGUAGUCUAACAUAUGAUAGGCUUACAAAUGAGACUUUCCACAUAGGCCUAGAAGCAGGUUACUGUCUUUCUCUGUAGCCUAACAUAUGAUAGGCUUACAAACGAGACUUUCCACAUAGGCCUAGAAGCAGGUUACUGUCUUUCUCUGUAGCCUAACAUAUGAUAGGCUUACAAACGAGACUUUCUACAUAGGCCAAGAAGCAGGUUACUGUCUAUAGCCUAACAUAUGAUAGGCUUACAAAUGAGACUUUCUACAUAGGCCUAGAAGGAGGUUACUGUCUUUCUCUGUAGCCUAACAUAUGAUAGGCUUACAAACGAGACUUUCCACAUAGGCCUAGAAGCAGGUUACUGUCUUUCUCUGUAGCCUAACAUAUGAUAGGCUUACAAACGAGGCUUUCCACAUAGGCCAAGAAGCAGGUUACUGUCUAUAGCCUAACAUAUGAUAGGCUUACAAAUGAGACUUUCCACAUAGGCCUAGAAGCAGGUUACUGUCUCUCUCUGUAGCCUAAUAUAUGAGAGGCUGACAAACACAGCACAAAAACACCUCAUGAACAUUGGCACAAAUUCUCGGUAACUCCAUUGCCAACGUUGCCAGAUUAUCGUACUCAAAGCAUAGUAUUCCCAGGUUUCUAGCGCCUAACUAUUGCCAAGAAACAUCAGGAAAUAACUCUUUUAACGAUAAAUAUAAAUGAGUUUCGUUACUGCGUCCCAGAAGACAGUUUUUGGGGUAGGCAGUCGGGAAAAACAAGAGGCAGUUUACGACAAUCUGACAUCAUUGAUCAUUGCCAACCUUUCCACUCGGCCCCAAGCGAAAGGCAGUGUGUUCAGUGUCGCCAGAGAGGAGAGCAAACCUUUACACCAGCGUUAACCAUUGACAAAUAGACGUACAUUGUAGACUCGCCGACUCGCCCUCCCUGGCAAUACUUACGGUAGCGCCAAGGUGAGUGCGUUCCCUUACUCCCUUACUCAUGGUGGGGACGGGUGGUAAACUGACCCCUUCUAGUGAUAGCAAAGGCAUAAUAAUAAUAAUAAUAGUAAUAAUAAUAGCAGUAGGAUUAAUAGCUAGGAUGGAAUGACAGUUUUCGGCAUUGUUUUGUUAUCCUGAAAUCGUCACAAAAUAUUGGUCUGGUUGAAUUUUUUUUGUGCCGAUAAACACACACACACACACACACACACACACAC